This 524-nucleotide ribosomal RNA is filed under the name uncultured bacterium. RNAcentral describes it as "partial 16S ribosomal RNA". It matches the Rfam family "Bacterial small subunit ribosomal RNA", at positions 28 to 523 of the family's 1533-position model. The record is from RNAcentral.
GACGAACGCUGGCGGCGUGCCUAAUACAUGCAAGUCGAACGCUUCUUUUUCCACCGGAGCUUGCUCCACCGGAAAAAGAGGAGUGGCGAACGGGUGAGUAACACGUGGGUAACCUGCCCAUCAGAAGGGGAUAACACCUGGAAACAGGUGCUAAUACCGUAUAACAAUCAAAACCGCAUGGUUUUGAUUUGAAAGGCGCUUUCGGGUGUCGCUGAUGAAUGGACCCGCGGUGCAUUAGCUAGUUGGUGAGGUAACGGCUCACCAAGGCCACGAUGCAUAGCCGACCUGAGAGGAUGAUCGGCCACAUUGGGACUGAGACACGGCCCAAACUCCUACGGGAGGCAGCAGUAGGGAAUCUUCGGCAAUGGACGAAAGUCUGACCGAGCAACGCCGCGUGAGUGAAGAAGGUCUUCGGAUCGUAAAACUCUGUUGUUAGGGAAGAACAAAUUUGUUAGUAACUGAACAAGUCUUGACGGUACCUAACCAGAAAGCCACGGCUAACUACGUGCCAGCCGCCGCGGUAA